GGUGGGGUGGCUGAGCUUGGUUUAAGGCGCCACACUCGAAAUGUGGUAUGCUCGAAAGAGCAUCGUGAGUUCAAAUCUCACCCCCACCG
Molecule: non-coding RNA, 89 nt
Organism: Parcubacteria group bacterium CG1_02_42_13
Lineage: Bacteria
Source: Rfam